GAACAGCAUGGCCACGCCUGCGUUCAAAAAGCUACGAGUCCCAACUUGCUAUACUUCCUAACUGCUAAGUUUCAAAGUAGCCAUCAUCUCAAAACACCUUAGCCUCAUUUUUUUUUUCAAUACAAACCAGCAUAACAAUUUAGCACUAGCAUUAUUUCAAUAGAAACCAACAUCAUCUCAAAAUAGAAGUAAACUCAUUCAAAGCUCAAUAAGUCCAAAGCAAGUAAACCUAUUUUAAAAUAAAAAAGAAACAAGUAUAGAAAAAAUAACAACAAGCAUGACAGGGAGACAUACCAAAAAGGAGAAGUGACGGCGACAGCGGCGGUGCACGGCUGAUAGCAGCAGUUACCGGUGGAAAUGACGUUAAAACAGGAACAGAUGUAUCAAUAAGCAUGGCUUGUGCAUCAAUGGCAGUCAGCAUCAACAUAGCAGGGUUU
This is a long non-coding RNA of Cicer arietinum (chickpea), 437 nucleotides long. RefSeq lists it as uncharacterized. Lineage: Eukaryota; Viridiplantae; Streptophyta; Magnoliopsida; Fabales; Fabaceae. The record is from RefSeq and is a predicted model, not a curated record.